GGGGAUUUGGCUCAGUGGUAGAGCACUUGCCUAGCAAGCACAAGGCCCUGGGUUCGAUCCCCAGCUCCA
This 69-nucleotide transfer RNA is filed under the name Rattus norvegicus (Norway rat). It matches the Rfam family "tRNA". From Rfam's summary of the family: Transfer RNA (tRNA) molecules are approximately 80 nucleotides in length. Their secondary structure includes four short double-helical elements and three loops (D, anti-codon, and T loops). The record is from Rfam by way of RNAcentral. Lineage: Eukaryota; Metazoa; Chordata; Mammalia; Rodentia; Muridae.